CAGAGUUCUACACUGUCUGUGGACAAAGAUGGCGGUGUCCUCUGCAGAGAUCCUCGUCAGUAGGUUGGUGUGGUAGGACUGGAAAUCCAUGCCCAAAUACAUUCCAAUGCUAAACUGCUCUGAGCUGUGCCCAGACUCAUUGUCCUCAUCAGAAGAUGUGUAGAGGCAGCUGUGAUGACAUCCCUGGCUCUGAAUUGCACUAUAAACAAAAAGUUGCUGUUCAACAAGAAACAUUACUUCUAUGCAGAUCUGCCCGGGAGUCUAAACACGACUGAUAUGAGGGGGUUGAUACCAGAGAACUGCUUCUUGAAACAUAAUUGAUAGUCCCUGGCGCACACAAAGGAUUCUUUGUUAGAAAUGAAAUGUGUGUCUUUAUGGUGAUACACAAAUCAUUUAUGUUAAACACUUUUUUUGUGCUGAGGAAGCCUCUAGUUUUAAAGUUCCUCAGUUCGUUCUUCGCUUCUGACAUUGAGAUUUGGAAAGAUGAAAGAUAGAAUAUGGCUUAGGUGGCAUGUAUUAAUCCACAUCUACAUUCAGUGUGAAAUGCUUCCUUACAAUAUAACUAUUUUAAUGUCUUUUUGCCUUUCUUGUUUACUUAUUUACCCAAGAGCAUAGCAGAGUGUAAGUAUUAUUUAGCAUGGUACCCCUUACAGCGUGCACUGCAUUAAGCAAGCAGGGGGCAGGUCUAGCACUGUGAUGACUGAGCUGCUAUGUGGUCCCUUCUUGAUGCAUCAACUUGCCUGCAGCCCAAACAGCACAGCAGGGGGAAGAGGUGACUUGAGCAAUGUGAAAUUAAAGCAAGGAGACAGGCCUGCUGUUACAGUACUGGCAUUAUAUUCCAUUUACAUGGAGAUGGUAGUUAAAUUAAAAGGUAUACAAAUAAUAUCUAUAAGGAACAGGGUUUGUUGGCGGAAUAUUUAUACCAGUAAUAAGUCACAUUGAGUUAUGAUUCAUAACUAUUAAAGUAGCUGUGUGGUGCCUUUGUUUUGUAUCGCAAUACAUUUCAUGU
This is a long non-coding RNA of Acipenser ruthenus (sterlet), 1009 nucleotides long. RefSeq lists it as uncharacterized. The record is from RefSeq and is a predicted model, not a curated record. NCBI's taxonomy places the organism in Eukaryota, Metazoa, Chordata, Actinopteri, Acipenseriformes, Acipenseridae. The transcript is spliced from 3 exons.